ACUCCUACGGGAGGCAGCAGGUGGGGAAUAUUGGACAAUGGGCGCAAGCCUGGAUCCAGCCAUGCCGCGUGAGUGAUGAAGGCCCUAGGGUUGUAAAGCUCUUUCACCGGUGAAGUAUAAUGACGGUAACCGGAGAAGAAGCCCCGGCUAACUUCGUGCCAGCAGCCCGCGGUAAUACGAAGGGGCUAGCGUUGUUCGGAUUUACUGGGCGUAAAGCGCACGUAGGCGGACUUUUAAGUCAGGGGU
RNAcentral lists this ribosomal RNA (246 nucleotides) under uncultured bacterium. RNAcentral's name for it is "partial 16S ribosomal RNA". It matches the Rfam family "Bacterial small subunit ribosomal RNA", at positions 335 to 595 of the family's 1533-position model. The record is from RNAcentral.